AGUGAGCGCUGGCGGUAGGCCUAACACAUGCAAGUCGAACGGCAGCACAGUAAGAGCUUGCUCUUACGGGUGGCGAGUGGCGGACAGGUGAGGAAUACAUCGGAAUCUACUUUUUCGUGGGGGAUAACGUAGGGAAACUUACGCUAAUACCGCAUACGACCUACGGGUGAAAGCAUGGGAUCUUCGGACCUUGCGCGAUUGAAUGAGCCGAUGUCGGAUUAGCUAGUUGGCGGGGUAAAGGCCCACCAAGGCGACGAUACGUAGCUGGUCUGAGAGGAUGAUCAGCCAAACUGGAACUGAGACACGGUCCAGACUCCUACGGGAGGCAGCAGUGGGGAAUAUUGGACAAAGGGCGCAAGCCUGAUCCAGCCAUACCGCGUGGGUGAAGAAGGCCUUCGGGUUGUAAAGCCCUUUCGUUGGGAAAGAAAAGCAGCAGGUUAAUACCCCGCUGUUCUGACGGUACCCAAAGAAUAAGCACCGGCUAACUUCGUG
RNAcentral lists this ribosomal RNA (492 nucleotides) under uncultured bacterium. RNAcentral describes it as "partial 16S ribosomal RNA". It matches the Rfam family "Bacterial small subunit ribosomal RNA", at positions 29 to 507 of the family's 1533-position model. The record is from RNAcentral.